This 253-nucleotide ribosomal RNA is filed under the name uncultured bacterium. RNAcentral describes it as "partial 16S ribosomal RNA". It matches the Rfam family "Bacterial small subunit ribosomal RNA", at positions 524 to 776 of the family's 1533-position model. The record is from RNAcentral.
GACAGAGGGUGCAAACGUUGCUCGGAAUUACUGGGCGUAAAGCGCGUGUAGGCGGGAAGAUAAGUCGGGUGUGAAAUCCCUGGGCUCAACCUAGGAACUGCAUUCGAAACUGUCUUUCUGGAGUGAUGGAGAGGAAAGCGGAAUUCCCAGUGUAGCGGUGAAAUGCGUAGAGAUUGGGAAGAACACCGGUGGCGAAAGCGCUCUACUGGGCCUGCACUGACACUCAUGGACGAAAGCUAGGGGAGCGAAAGGG